This 449-nucleotide ribosomal RNA is filed under the name uncultured bacterium. RNAcentral's name for it is "partial 16S ribosomal RNA". It matches the Rfam family "Bacterial small subunit ribosomal RNA", at positions 29 to 523 of the family's 1533-position model. The record is from RNAcentral.
AACGAACGCUGGCGGCAUGCCUAACACAUGCAAGUCGAACGAGAUCUUCGGGUCUAGUGGCGCACGGGUGCGUAACGCGUGGGAAUCUGCCCUUUGGUUCGGAAUAACAGUUGGAAACGACUGCUAAUACCGGAUGAUGACGAAAGUCCAAAGAUUUAUCGCCAGAGGAAGAGCCCGCGUAGGAUUAGCUAGUUGGUGAGGUAAAGGCGCACCAAGGCGACGAUCCUUAGCUGGUCUGAGAGGAUGAUCAGCCACACUGGGACUGAGACACGGCCCAGACUCCUACGGGAGGAAGCAGUGGGGAAUAUUGGACAAUGGGCGAAAGCCUGAUCCAGCAAUGCCGCGUGAGUGAUGAAGGCCUUAGGUUUGUAAAGCUCUUUUACCCGGGAUGAUAGUGACAGUACCGGGAGAAUAAGCUCCGGCUAACUCCGUGCCAGCCGCCGCAGUAA